Molecule: long non-coding RNA, 786 nt
Organism: Silurus meridionalis
Lineage: Eukaryota; Metazoa; Chordata; Actinopteri; Siluriformes; Siluridae
Exons: 3
Source: RefSeq, a predicted model, not a curated record
GCAGUUAUACCAGAGGUCAGAGUAAAUUAGCAGUUAUACCAAAGGUCAGAGUAAAUUAAUAACAGUUGUGUAAUCCCAUACUUCAGCUUCUGCUAAUAAUAAUAAUAAUAAUAAUAAUAAUAAUAAUAAUAAUAAUGAUAAUGAUAAUAAUAAAAAACAAUAAUAAUUGAUAUAUCAGUUAUACCAUGGGUCAGAGUAAAGUAUUAACAGUUAUACCAGAGAUCAGAGUAAAUUAAUAAUAGCAGUUAUACCAGAGGUCAGAGUAAAUUAAUAACAGUUAUACCAGAGGUUAGAGUAAAUUAAUACACUUUAAAAAUGAUUAAGAGUUUUAGUCAGGUGAACAAGUAAAAUCAUGUCCUGUCAACUUGCAGUGCCUCACUACACAACUGGAAAAGUUCUAACAAUCUCGACUUGAUGGGAAAUGGAAAACUUUAAAUAACCAGUUCAUAUAACAACAAAACAUAGGUUCUAUCAAUUUUCUCUGUAAUGCGCAUGUGCCAGAAUCUCUUCGUCAUUAUAAAGUAAUAUUUUAACGAAGUUGAGACAGACACGCCAUCCGCCAUUUUCUGCACCGGAAGUUGCUGAUCAUGCCAGAAAAGAUGAAGGAGCCCGCGAUUACAGAUGAACUUUAUUCACUGCAAAUAAUGAAAUGAGAUCAGUACAGUGCAAGUAGAGUGGAAGCACAACUUCAUAUCAAUGAGGUGGUGUUGCAAGAUUUGUAGAUUUUCCUCAUCCAACCAGCAUGCCCUAAUCACACAUUACAAGCUGAGACACUGCCGAUCAAAC